UCCGGUUUGGCACCGGCGGUCUCCCAUGAGUCCCCGGCUUUACCCGCUGGCAACAUGGGACAGGGGUUGCGCUCGUUGCGCCACUUAAGGCAACACCUCACGGCACGAGCUGACGACAGCCAUGCAGCACCUGUGCCGGCUCCCGAAGGACACGGGCUUUCACCCGCUUUACCCUGCAUGUCAAGCCCAGGUAAGGUUCGUCGUGUUGCAUCGAAUUAAGCCACAUGCUCCGCCGCUUGUGCGGGUCCCCGUCAAUUCCUUUGAGUUUUAGCCUUGCGGCCGUAGUCCCCAGGCGGGGUGCUUAACGCGUUGGCUACGGCACGGGAUCCGUGGAUAGGACCCCACACCUAGCACCCAUCGUUUACGGCGUGGACUAC
RNAcentral lists this unclassified non-coding RNA (377 nucleotides) under uncultured Actinomycetes bacterium. RNAcentral's name for it is "uncultured actinobacterium contains 16S-23S intergenic spacer region". The record is from RNAcentral. Lineage: Bacteria; Bacillati; Actinomycetota; Actinomycetes.